GAUGAACGCUGGCGGCGUGCCUAAUACAUGCAAGUCGAGCGGACCAAAGAGAGCUUGCUCUCUGAGGUUAGCGGCGGACGGGUGAGUAACACGUGGGUAACCUGCCUGUAAGACGGGGAUAACUUCGGGAAACCGAAGCUAAUACCGGAUGAUAAAGAGAAACGCCUGUUUAUCUUUUGAAAGUCGGCCUUGUGCUGACGCUUACAGAUGGGCCCGCGGCGCAUUAGCUAGUUGGUGAGGUAACGGCUCACCAAGGCGACGAUGCGUAGACGACCUGAGAGGGUGAUCGGCCACACUGGGACUGAGACACGGCCCAGACUCCUACGGGAGGCAGCAGUAGGGAAUCUUCGGCAAUGGACGAAAGUCUGACCGAGCAACGCCGCGUGAGCGAUGAAGGCCUUCGGGUCGUAAAGCUCUGUUGUCAGAGAAGAACAAGUACCGGAGUAACUGCCGGUACCUUGACGGUACCUGACCAGAAAGCCACGGCUAACUACGUGCCAGCAGCCGCGGUAA
RNAcentral lists this ribosomal RNA (513 nucleotides) under uncultured bacterium. RNAcentral's name for it is "partial 16S ribosomal RNA". It matches the Rfam family "Bacterial small subunit ribosomal RNA", at positions 28 to 523 of the family's 1533-position model. The record is from RNAcentral.